CGCGAAGCCGAGUAUCCGCCCUGGCGGCAGGUCGGGGCUGGCCCUGAGGGGAGCCUGAGCGGCGGCUCGGCACCGGUGGCAGCCCUGAGGCGUGGGGACGGCCGGCGGAGAGGCGAUCCCUCUGGCCCCGCGGCUGCCGAGAUGCCCUCGGAGGAACCGUGCUGAGGGGCAGUGAAGUGACUCGGGGGCGAAGGGCAUGCCGGGGGGAGGAGGGAGUGGCGUGGAGGCGGCCCAAGAGCGGCCUGUGGCCUAAGGUUCCAUCCCCUUGGCAAAGGCAGGCCGUGAGUAACCAACUGCCUGGAAGCCUCAAAGGAGCCGUGAGGGGAAGGCACACGCUGGGUGCCAGACGCGCAGGAAGCUGUGGUGGGAAGGAGCACACAAAGGGAUAUAAUGUCUCCUCUUGGGACCACAACAUAUGGGCAGAGACGGGGCUCAGUUUGCAGUAAGCUUCCGCCUCUGAACAGCUUGCAGUGCCCGACAGAUCCAAGGGAACUAUUUGACCUCCCUGCAUGUGCCUUUCAGUCAGUCCUCAUCAGUGUGCUGCUGCGGGUAGAGCAGACACGAAAAUUUGAGUAGGACCACUUUAAAGCAGGUAUUGUAAGAACAAAAAAAAAAUCUCUUUGCCUUUUUUUUUUUUGGUUAAGCUCUCUGGCAAGAUGUUGAAGUUGCAUUUUAAUAUU
RNAcentral lists this long non-coding RNA (680 nucleotides) under Calidris pugnax (ruff). RNAcentral describes it as "lncRNA (ENSCPUG00000002596.1)". Lineage: Eukaryota; Metazoa; Chordata; Aves; Charadriiformes; Scolopacidae. The record is from RNAcentral.